CAGUAGCCGCGGUAAUACGGAGGGGGCUAGCGUUGUUCGGAAUUACUGGGCGUAAAGCGUACGUAGGCGGCUUUGUAAGUUAGAGGUGAAAGCCCGGGGCUCAACCCCGGAACUGCCUUUAAGACUGCAUCGCUUGAAUCGCGGAGAGGUGAGUGGAAUUCCGAGUGUAGAGGUGAAAUUCGUAGAUAUUCGGAAGAACACCAGUGGCGAAGGCGGCUCACUGGACGCGUAUUGACGCUGAGGUACGAAAGCGUGGGGAGCAAACAGGAUUAGAUACCCCUGUAGUCCCUGUCUCUUAUAC
Molecule: ribosomal RNA, 301 nt
Filed under: uncultured bacterium
Lineage: Bacteria
Description: partial 16S ribosomal RNA
Rfam family: Bacterial small subunit ribosomal RNA
Source: RNAcentral